Long non-coding RNA from Drosophila rhopaloa, 2744 nucleotides. RefSeq lists it as uncharacterized. The transcript has 2 exons. NCBI's taxonomy places the organism in Eukaryota, Metazoa, Arthropoda, Insecta, Diptera, Drosophilidae. The record is from RefSeq and is a predicted model, not a curated record.
UGUGUCCUUCGCUUUCUCUCAAAGUUCUUGAUCUUUCGGAUUUUUUCAUCGCUAUAUUUUUAGAUUUUGUGUUAAAAUUUCAGUUCAAUAAACAAAACUGAUAUAGUUAUCAUUACCAAACAGAUUUGCGCUACAUGGGAUACAAGUAUCUUGGCUAUUCUGGUCUGAUUCGCGAUGCUAUGGACAAGAGAAGUGCCCAACACUACUACUGCAAUGAUUUUAUUUUGAACAACUGGUCAUCUUUUUCACCAAAAACAAAUGUCUUAUGGUUGUCCUAUGUUAUUGCCAAACUAGUGGAAAGCGUGAAAUAUAAAAGUACAAAUACAAAGAUUCACAGAAUGUACAUUCAGAAGCUAAAUGAAUUACAAAGCAUUAUACUGACUUUUGAGAGUGCCGUACACUGCGCCAUACAUCUGUUUAAUAUUAGUGAAUGAGCGAACUGAUAAAAUUUUCAUAACGCAUCUUUUAAUUGGUUUGCUUUCGUUUCUUAUCUUUAAGAGCUACAGGUGUCCACCAUUAUAAUAAAUAACUCUUAAUAUGCGCCCAGGCAUUAAAUGAAGCAAGUUUGGAGAACCAAUCCCUCGAUUCUGUCCCAUUCAGCUACAAUUGCUUCCAUUAAUUCUUUUAUGGUCAUAAACCUUGCUCAAAGUUUUCUAUACGGUUUAGAUUCGGAUUUUUGGUCUGCUCACAGCAGGAUAAUUUCUUCUUUCUUCAAAAAACCAUUAAAUAUUUUGCAAUUUCAGUAUAUAAGAAGUUGACAGUGGAAGCGUUUUAUGAUGAAAUUUCGGAAACUCAUAUGACCAUGAGUUAUUGGCUUUAUUGACAGAACUGAAACCAAAACCAUGGCAAUGCAGACCAAAAAAAGGAGGAAACCAAACACAGACAUUCAUAUUAGAACAAGAGAACUAAGCAGGUUAACUCUGGAGUUUGCAGCAGGCAACAACAUCAAGGGAAUACCAGAAACAAAGGGUAGAUGGCAAACGCACAAAUCGGAGUUUCUAAAAAAGGAGAUAGAAUACCUGGGUCAUGCAACGACUCAGAAAGGUUUUAAACCAAACCCGAAGAAGAUUUAAGCCUAAGCUUUUCUCAUUACUGGCUAAUGGGCUUUAAGAAGCCCAAUUCCAAGUUAGUGAGUUGGAAACUGCAACUAUUGGAAUAUGCUUAUAAAGUUUUUGAGAAAGAAUCGCAAAAUUUGGUGGCAGACGCUAUCAGAAGAAUAGAGCUACAAAUCCACAAUAGUGAGCUGUAUUGAAACCAAACUACGUGUGCAAAUACUAAUAAGGGUAUAGACUCUGAAUGAAGAAUUCAGGUGGCGGAAAUAUGUGAGAUUGGGCCCAAAUGGUGGAAUCACCUUUUAGAAACAAAACUAAAAGAGCGAUAACUGAACCGAAUUUCGAAAAGGAGCAAAUUGCUAGGAUUAUAUACAAGAAUCAUUUGAAGAAUAUGUGCCUAGCAGACAUUGAUGAGAAAGGAAAUGAGGAAGUGUAACACUUCAAGAAAUUAUGAGACAUUUUGGGAGCUGAGACGUAUAUGAAAAAAAGGUCAUCAAUAAGUGGAGUACAAUAAAGUAUCCCUGCCAUACCACUAAAUAGUAUUUCAGAAGACUCCCAUUACGACGUUAGAUAUUGUACAUACUGAUCUGUACACAAUUAACAAAAACUAUGUUAUGAAGAUGUUAGUACGAUAAAGUAUACCUGACAUACCCCUAAAUAGUAUUUCAGAAGACUCCCAUUAAGACGUUAGAUAUUGUACAUACUGAUCUGUAUACAAUUAACAAAAACUAUUUUAUGUCAGUUAUAAAUAAUUCUUUAGGCUUGCAAUACAAUACCAAAUAGAUAUGGUAUAAAAAUUGUAAAAUCAAUAAACAAAUUAGUAAGCCACUAUUGUGUCCCCAAGAAACUUAUUUGUGACCAAGGGUCUGAGUACGAUUCAAGUUUAUAUAAACAUUUUUGCAGACUGCAUGGAACUAGUUGUAUGUGGUGUCUUUUUAACAAUGGUCUAGUAACUCAACGGUAGUGGAAUUACUUUCUAGACUAAUAUAAAUUUAUAGAAUUUUUGAGGGAAUGAUUUAAAAUUGUAAUGUGACCAUGAGGAAAUUUUGGACGAGGUUUUCUAAAUUAAAACCUAUUGAACGCCAGUUUUUGAGAAAUCACCUUCGAUACAGAACAUGAAUACUUCAAAAAGCUUGAUGAGUAUCGAGAGGAGAUUUAUAAAAUUUUAAGGAGCAGCUUGGGCCAAACAAAAAAAAAAAACAAAUUGAACAAGGAAAGAGAGGAACCACUGUAGUUGCAAAGAAGAGAUUAAGUUUAUAGAAAGGAAUACAGAAGGAAUAAGAUAACGCCUAGGUUUACAACACAAGCAAUCGAACAAGACAUGGCAGUUAGGAGUAGGACGAAAAGGAAACAAGAAAUUCAAAAGUCCCAGCUAAGAAAUCGUAUUCAAAAACUAUAACUAAUUACAUCAAAAAAUUACAAAUAAAUUUCGACCCAAGGACAGAAUUGGAUUAAUAUUAAGUGUAGGAAACUGUGUCAGCUGAUCGGAAUUCGAGCCCAACAAGGAAACCAUAAAUUCACCACGACGCGAGAUGGAUUGCGUCGUAUGUUGAGUUCAAGAAGGAACCGAAAAGCACGUGUUAUUACUGGACUGUUACAUUGGCGACGAGGAUUAAAGACUAUUACGGAACUACUGACGCAUAAGGAACGAAACUAAGUAUUAAUAAAAUAAACGCCGGCUGUCGAAGAAUA